RNAcentral lists this long non-coding RNA (256 nucleotides) under Capsicum annuum. RNAcentral describes it as "long non-coding RNA (CANN_LNC000555)". The record is from RNAcentral. Lineage: Eukaryota; Viridiplantae; Streptophyta; Magnoliopsida; Solanales; Solanaceae.
CCUAUUGGCCUGAGACUGGGCACCUUGUUCCCUAGAAGUAUCACCACUCUGAAAAUGUAUUUCUCCCAAUGGCUUUAGGUAAAGAACACUAGCCGUAGUAUAGGAGUUAGGACUCCCCCCACUCUUCUUAUUAGACCACUUAUCACUAAUCUAUUGGCUUCCACUUUGCUAAAAAAAUUAAGACCUCUUAGUCUGUCUCUCACCAAUAUUGUUCUAUUUUUUUCUCUUCCUCCACUUGCUGCAUAUACAUAACCAG